GAAAAGAAACCAACAGGGAUUGCCCUAGUAACGGCGAGUGAAGCGGCAACAGCUCAAAUUUGAAAGCUGGCUCCGGCCCGCAUUGUAAUUUGCAGAGGAUGCUUUUGGCGAGGUGCCUUCCGAGUUCCCUGGAACGGGACGCCAUAGAGGGUGAGAGCCCCGUAUGGAUGGACACCAAACCUGUGUAAAGCUCCUUCAACGAGUCGAGUAGUUUGGGAAUGCUGCUCUAAAUGGGAGGUAAAUCUCUUCUAAAGCUAAAUACCGGCCAGAGACCGAUAGCGCACAAGUAGAGUGAUCGAAAGAUGAAAAGCACCUUGAAAAGGGGGUUAAACAGUACGUGAAAUUGUUGAAAGGGAAGCGCUUGUGACCAGACUUGCGCCGGGCAGCUCAUCAGGGGUUCUCCCCUGUGCACUCUGCCCGGCUCAGGCCAGCAUCGGUUCUCGUGGGAGGAUAAGAACAGUGGGAACGUGGCCCCCUCUCGGGGGGGUGUUAUAGCCCAUUGUACGAUACUCUCGUGGGGACCGAGGUUCGCGCUCCGCAAGGAUGCUGGCGUAAUGGUCAUCAGCGACCCGUCUUGAAACACGGACCAAGGAGUCGUCCAUUAGAGCGAGCGUUUGGGUGUAAAACCCGCACGCGUAAUGAAAGUGAACGCAGGUGAGAGCUUCGGCGCAUCAUCGACCGAUCCUGAUGUCUUCGGAUGGAUUUGAGUAAGAGUUUUAACGGACGGACCCGAAAGACAGUGAACUAUGCUUGUAUAGGGUGAAGCCAGAGGAAACUCUGGUGGAGGCUCGCAGCGGUUCUGACGUGCAAAUCGAUCGUCAAAUAUGAGCAUGGGGGCGAAAGACUAAUCGAACUGUCUAGUAGCUGGUUACCGCCGAAGUUUCCCUCAGGAUAGCAGUGUUGUUCUUCAGUUUUAUGAGGUAAAGCGAAUGAUUAGGGACUCGGGGGCGCUUAUUAGCCUUCAUCCAUUCUCAAACUUUAAAUAUGUAAGAAGCCCUUGUUACUUAAUUGAACGUGGGCAUUCGAAUGUACCAACACUAGUGGGCCAUUUUUGGUAAGCAGAACUGGCGAUGCGGGAUGAACCGAACGCGGGGUUAAGGCGCCAGAGUGUACGCUCAUCAGACACCACAAAAGGCGUUAGUACAUCUUGACAGCAGGACGGUGGCCAUGGAAGUCGGAAUCCGCUAAGGACUGUGUAACAACUCACCUGCCGAAUGUACUAGCCCUGAAAAUGGAUGGCGCUCAAGCGUACCGCCCAUACCCCGCCCUCAGGGUAGAAACGAUGCCCUGAGGAGUAGGCGGCCGUGGGGGUCAGUGACGAAGCCUAGGGCGUGAGCCCGGGUCGAACGGCCC
RNAcentral lists this ribosomal RNA (1353 nucleotides) under Cytospora hoffmannii. RNAcentral's name for it is "eukaryotic LSU rRNA". It matches the Rfam family "Eukaryotic large subunit ribosomal RNA", at positions 56 to 1438 of the family's 3401-position model. The record is from RNAcentral. Lineage: Eukaryota; Fungi; Ascomycota; Sordariomycetes; Diaporthales; Cytosporaceae.